AUAAAAGACAGCAGAAGACUUGCAUGCUUCAUUUCCCUGACCAGAUUUAUAUACCGCAGCAGCACCCUAGCAGGUGCUGAGAUUCUGAAGUUCACAGAAGCAUUAAGUCAUUAUUCAAAUGAAAAGCUGCUUUUACCUAUUAACAUAUUUUCAUCAACAACUAAAAAGCAAGAUGCUGAUAUGAGGGGAGAUAUGUGUAUUCUUAUUUAUAUGGUAAUUGAAUGGUCAGGGAAUUUGCCUGUUAUUUUCCUAAGACAUGGCAUGUGUCAAUUAAAACUAUGUUGCGCUACUGUUCUAAUGGAACCUGGCACCAUUAAGAAAUCUUUUCUUCUUCAUAAGAUGUGAUGGGGAGAGAAGCACUGAAAGUCAACCAAUUUACGCAACCUACUUUGUAAUAUGAUUGCUGGCUUUUGCCUUUCUACAGACAAAGCAAAAUUAAUAAUUCUUCUCUGUAACAAGUGACAAGAAAAUUAUUUCUGUCUAUCAAGCACAUCCUAAGUAAGAGUAAGAAUAUUGUUUCCCCUCCCAUAAAUUUGCAUAUUUAGAGUGUUCUUAGUAAAAUCUGGGGCGUUAUAAUUCAAUGGCUCAUAUUCUUUGUCAAUCAGGCUUCUUUCAAGAGUGAAAACAUUUUAAAAAGCCAGCAUACAACUGCAAUUCCCUUUCGUCGAAUCAGCACAUGCUGUAAAUCAUGGUGCAAAAAACUUGGGCUUCAUUGCAAUGGGCAGAGUUCCACUGAAGCUGAUGGUGCUGUGUUUGGGCUGAACUGGGUCCAAAAUGUCCAGCAAACUUCCCUGCAAAUGCAUCAUUAACAGCAAUAAUGGUCAGUGCUGAAGAGACACCCUGAGAACACAUACCUUAUUCUUGUAAAAGAAUCGUUUUAAUACCCUAGUUUCAUCACUCAGGCUGGAGCUACUGCUUAGUAUUCAAGCUGGGAGAUCCAUUCAUCACUGUUUUAUGCCUACCUGGAUUUCUAUUCAUGCAAAUUCUCCAGGGCCUCACCAAAAAUAAAACAAAAAGACAAAUCA
This 1025-nucleotide long non-coding RNA is filed under the name Anser brachyrhynchus (Pink-footed goose). RNAcentral's name for it is "lncRNA (ENSABRG00000006178.1)". The record is from RNAcentral. Lineage: Eukaryota; Metazoa; Chordata; Aves; Anseriformes; Anatidae.